This 790-nucleotide ribosomal RNA is filed under the name uncultured bacterium. RNAcentral describes it as "bacterial SSU rRNA". It matches the Rfam family "Bacterial small subunit ribosomal RNA", at positions 566 to 1333 of the family's 1533-position model. The record is from RNAcentral.
GGCAAGUAGGCGGCCAAUUAAGUGAGGGGUGAAAUCUUCCGACUCAAUCGGAAAAUUGCCUUUCAUACUGAUCGGCUUGAGGUCAGAAGAGGGAAACGGAAUUAGCAGUGUAAGGGUGAAAUCUGUAGAUAUUGCUAAGAACACCAGCGGCGAAGGCGGUUUCCUGGUCUAGACCUGACGCUGAAUUGCGAAAGCUAGGGGAGCAAACAGAAUUAGAUACUCUGGUAGUCCUAGCCGUAAACGAUGAGCACUAGGUGUUGGCCCUUCUAGGGUCAGUGCCGCAGCUAACGCAUUAAGUGCUCCACCUGGGGACUACGGCCGCAAGGCUAAAACUCAAAGGAAUUGACGGGGACCCGCACAAGCGGUGGAACAUGUGGUUUAAUUCGAUGCUACGCGAAGAACCUCACCAAGGCUUGACAUACAGGAAGUAGUGAACUGAAAGGGGAACCACCCGUUAAGUCGGGAGCCUGUACAGGUGCUGCAUGGCUGUCGUCAGCUCGUGUCGUGAGAUGUUGGGUUAAGUCCCGCAACGAGCGCAACCAUUGCCCCAUGUUGCAACCUCCACUUACUUCGUAAGAAGUGGUGGGGCGCACUCUUGGGGGACUGCACCGGGAUAANCCGGGAGGAAGGUGGAGAUGACGUCAAGUCAGUACGGCCCUUAUGCCUUGGGCUGCACACGUGUUACAAUGGCUGGUAUAAAGGGUUGCCAACCCGCGAGGGGGAGCUAAUCUCAAAAAACCAGCCUCAGUUCGGAUUGGAGUCUGCAAUUCGACUCCAUGAAGCCGGAAUC